This is a long non-coding RNA of Ostrea edulis (European flat oyster), 2970 nucleotides long. RefSeq lists it as uncharacterized. Lineage: Eukaryota; Metazoa; Mollusca; Bivalvia; Ostreida; Ostreidae. The record is from RefSeq and is a predicted model, not a curated record. The transcript has 3 exons.
CUCUCAAUUAAACUUGAAUCAACAUUUUCCAAGUAUGUUUGCUUGCUUAAUUUGGUCCUGUCAAUUUCGUUGAAGACAAUUUCCCAAAUUUUUUUACAUAGUCCAACAUAAAACUCUAAUCAUGGCCUUUAGCUUGUCCUAAAUAAACAAGCUGGGGGGGGGGGGGUUCCAUACUUUAAAUAUACUUGAUUCUAAGUUAAAAAGGAUGUUUGCAUAUAAGUUUGUUAUGUACUCUUGUGAAGAGUUUUGAAGAAUGAUUAAAAAUUUAUUUUCAUGUAACUUAUUAAGACCUUUUAGUGUUCCCAGCCAAACAUGGUGUAUUUUAGUAAAAAAAAACAACCAACAACUUUAAAUCAUUUAUAACUUUCUUUGUAGAGGAACAGCUAUCAUUGAGUCCAUACCAUUGGUUGGUCAAUUGAUCAUUCCAAAAUCAGUGCCUCUUAACUUGAGAAAAUGUUUUAAAAUCUUAUAUAAAACUUUAAACCUUCAAUUCACCUUGCUGAAUUUUUGUAUUAAGUAGUACGUUUAGGCUUUUCUGGUUCAUUGGAUCUUGAGAAGAAUUCAAAACACAUGCUCUAUUUUCACUUUCCUCCACCAGCAGAAAGAGGCAAUGGCCUUUCAUUUAGUUAAAGACUUAAAUCCCCUUCAAACAAUGACGAUUUGUGCCGAGUACAACUGGUUGAAAUUGGCCUUGUGUUCCUAGAGAGAGGUGGAUGAAAAUGUAAAAAGAUAUUUUAAAAAGCAAUAUUAAGAGAAGCUUGAUUGUCACAACAGACAGGUGAGCCAAAACUGGAAGCACACGGACACUCGGGUCUCACACUGAACAGAUGAAGUCCAAUCGAAGUCUCUUUGACUUCUUACAACUAUACAUUCCAAAUUCAUGACUCUAUGUACAUUAAAUUUAAUUGUUCAUCAUAAAUCUAGGCAAACAAGUAGACUAGUGUGUAAUGGCUGCGACUCUGAACAUAGAUGUUUGAAUUGUGCAUUGUCUCAAAAUUGAUACAUUAUGCUGAAGCCAGAUUCUUAUUCUCUUUUCAUUUUCCAGAUCACUCUGAGACUUAGGAAGUCAAUCACCACUAAUUCCCUCCCUAUGGCAAUUUAUCCCAGAACAUCUUCUCCCUGUCAAUUCUGAUCCUCCAGACUUACUACACAGUAACUGGAGUCAGGAGGGAAAAAAUCACACAGAGAAAAUCGCAUAAUGAGAGGGUAUGCGGCGAAAACAUCUCGUGCUACCUAUAGCUCUUAUUCUCAUUCAAUCAUUGAAUGUCGUUGAAUAAGAGCGAUUAUAAAACUUUUACAUCAACUACAAUAUGAUCCAAAAGAUAUCCCAUCUUUUCAAAAACAGAACUUUUUUGGACGAAGUGGAGAAAGACAAGGAUGUGGUAAUUAAACAUCGUGUAACAGGCUGGCCAGUGUGUGAUCUAACAGUCACAGACCAGGAAACAGAAGGAUCACACCACACUUACACACUUAGAACAAGCACCUGGUAGCCCACAGUUCCUACCUAUAUACAGUGAUGUGGCAGUUACAGGGAGCAGUAUAGUUAAUGAGAGCUUUUAUUAAUGAAUCCAGAAGUUGGUCAUAUAAUGGCAGCUUUCUUGUUGGUGAUUUUUUAUUGGGUAACAUUUAUUUGACAAUCCAAUUCUGUUAUAAUGGAUAUAUCAGUUAAAACUUUAUUAAAACUUUAUACUUUUAUCACAAAUCCUUCUCUUGUCACAGUCAAUGGUUUAAUGUAUACAUGUAAAUGCAACUACAGUCACUAUUCCCGACAAUUUUUUUUACCUAAAUGGUUAAUGUUCAGUUAGUUGUGCAAGUUGAGAUUGGAAAAUUUCACUUAUCAGUCUAUAGAGUAGAAAUUUUGGUGACUGGCAGCUUAAGGAAGCUAUUGACAUGAAUUAGAAUAGACUCUAUUCUCAGAGUCCAUGGAAAGUAGAUAAACUUCGACCAGCUUCCUAUGACAUAUUACAGAUAACUUCUAGAAUAUCCCAAAACUUCUAGUAUUUGAGUCAGAUAUUCCCUUGUCAUUAAUUCAAGGUGCAUUAUAAGCAGACUGCAAUUGGACAGUCCACAGAAGACUGAAAUUGGAUGGUCCAGACUUUGACCAGAGCCAGCUGAUAAAGCACUGGUAUUUCCAAGAGAUAACAGUCUCCCCCUUGGUGUCUGUGAAGUAGCUGGCUAUUUAGCCCCUGCUUAUCUCCAUUCCAUCAAACUGUUGUAUCACCAGCAAGGACUCAGAGGAUGUUAUCUUAAACAAGCUUACACUGCAGGAUACACCUGAUAAAAGUCAUGUCAACAUUAUCAUCAAGCCCCCAGUAAUCUCAGCAAGAGGGGGCCUCAGGUGAGAGAUCAGGUGAAAUCGUAAUCAGGCAUUAAAGACAAGAUUUCUGCAAGGAUUAACAGUGCCAGAUUUACAAGCAGCAAUUCUAUUUGACUUCUUGUUCUUGAGAAUCAUUCCAUUCCCAACAGACUUCAUGGAAACAAUACGGAGUCUAGUAACACCUGCGAUGAUGAUCGAUGAUGAUGGCGAUGAAGAUAAAAUGAAGUAGACUCUGAAGAUACUACACUGAGUGAUAAUGCAAUAUACAUAUACAUAACACACAGAUUAUGUCAACAUUAAUGCGUGGAAUAUGUUUUAAAGUUUACACCUCUCAUUGGUGACUCAUUUCCAUUAAUUAUUUAUCAUGAUACAUAACUCCGAUUAAUGACACAUUUUACUACAUUAUGUAUACGAAAUGCUUUGUAACAACCCUAAAAUACUUAAUUCAGCGAUAUUAGGCUGUAAUGCAUAAAAACUUCUUGUUGAUCCAUGUACUGUUAUCUAUCUAUUCAUAUUCAAUGUGUUUGGGACUCAACUAAGCUAUGUCUGGAGAGAGAAAAAAAUAGUUCCUGGGUUCACACACAAGAGUUUAAUGACAAUCUAUACAAGGUAUUGAUUCUUUACACGGAAAAAAAAAAUCAUUCUGGGCCUGU